This is a long non-coding RNA of Papaver somniferum (opium poppy), 326 nucleotides long. RefSeq lists it as uncharacterized. The transcript is spliced from 3 exons. NCBI's taxonomy places the organism in Eukaryota, Viridiplantae, Streptophyta, Magnoliopsida, Ranunculales, Papaveraceae. The record is from RefSeq and is a predicted model, not a curated record.
UCUGACGAAAAUGAUAAGGAAACAUGGGGCACCUUCAGCAGUUGGUUUGAAGUUCUUUGGUUAAUGAGGGCACCAUUUAGAGGAAGGCGUGCACAAGAGUAUCAUUUGGUUAAUAUGCGCUUAAUAGUCAGUGAAAAUGUGAAGACUCUUGUUACUUGCAUUAACUGUCUGAACAAGGCUGGAAGAUCACAGUGCUACAGUUAGAGCCUUAGCUUGGGGCCUAUUCCAGGCUAACUUGCUUGCUUCUGGUGGAGGUGCAGCUGAUGGACAUGUUAAAUUCUGGAACACCCACACUGGAGCUUGCUUGAAAUCUGUCGAUACUGGUU